UUGUGCUUGCACAGAUGACGACCGGCGCACGGGUGCGUAACGCGUAUAGAACCUACCUUUUACAGAGGAAUAGCCUUUAGAAAUGAAGAUUAAUGCCUCAUAGUAUUGUAGACUGGCAUCAGUUUAUAAUUAAAGAUUUAUCGGUAAAAGAUGGCUAUGCGUCCUAUUAGUUAGUUGGUAAGGUAACGGCUUACCAAGACAGCGAUAGGUAGGGGUCCUGAGAGGGAGAUCCCCCACACUGGUACUGAGACACGGACCAGACUCCUACGGGAGACAGCAGUGAGGAAUAUUGGACAAUGGAGGAGACUCUGAUCCAGCCAUGCCGCGUGUAGGAAGAAUGCCCUAUGGGUUGUAAACUACUUUUAUACAGGAAGAAACACUGGUAUGUAUACCAGCUUGACGGUACUGUAAGAAUAAGGACCGGCUAACUCCGUGCCAGCAGCCGCGGUAAUACGGAGGGUCCGAGCGUUAUCCGGAAUCAUUGGGUUUAAAGGGUCCGCAGGCGGUCUAUU
RNAcentral lists this ribosomal RNA (512 nucleotides) under uncultured Polaribacter sp. RNAcentral's name for it is "bacterial SSU rRNA". It matches the Rfam family "Bacterial small subunit ribosomal RNA", at positions 74 to 584 of the family's 1533-position model. The record is from RNAcentral. Lineage: Bacteria; Pseudomonadati; Bacteroidota; Flavobacteriia; Flavobacteriales; Flavobacteriaceae.